RNAcentral lists this ribosomal RNA (447 nucleotides) under uncultured bacterium. Its description in RNAcentral is "bacterial SSU rRNA". It matches the Rfam family "Bacterial small subunit ribosomal RNA", at positions 331 to 792 of the family's 1533-position model. The record is from RNAcentral.
CCAGACUCCUACGGGAGGCAGCAGUGGGGAAUAUUGGACAAUGGGGGAAACCCUGAUCCAGCGACGCCGCGUGAGUGAAGAAGUAUUUCGGUAUGUAAAGCUCUAUCAGCAGGGAAGAAAGAAAUGACGGUACCUGACUAAGAAGCCCCGGCUAACUACGUGCCAGCAGCCGCGGUAAUACGUAGGGGGCAAGCGUUAUCCGGAUUUACUGGGUGUAAAGGGAGCGUAGACGGCGAUGCAAGUCUGAAGUGAAAGGCGGGGGCCCAACCCCCGGACUGCUUUGGAAACUGUAUGGCUGGAGUGCAGGAGAGGUAAGUGGAAUUCCUAGUGUAGCGGUGAAAUGCGUAGAUAUUAGGAGGAACACCAGUGGCGAAGGCGGCCUACUGGACUGUAACUGACGUUGAGGCUCGAAAGCGUGGGGAGCAAACAGGAUUAGAUACCCCAGUA